UACGAAGGGGGCUAGCGUUGCUCGGAAUCACUGGGCGUAAAGCGCACGUAGGCGGCUUUCUAAGUCAGGGGUGAAAUCCUGGAGCUCAACUCCAGAACUGCCUUUGAUACUGGAGAGCUUGAGUCCGGAAGAGGUGAGUGGAACUCCGAGUGUAGAGGUGAAAUUCGUAGAUAUUCGGAAGAACACCAGUGGCGAAGGCGGCUCACUGGUCCGGUACUGACGCUGAUGUGCGAAAAGCGUGGGGAGCAAACAGG
Molecule: ribosomal RNA, 254 nt
Filed under: uncultured bacterium
Lineage: Bacteria
Description: partial 16S ribosomal RNA
Rfam family: Bacterial small subunit ribosomal RNA
Source: RNAcentral